CCUACGGGGGGCUGCAGCUAAGAAUCUUCCGCAAUGGGGGAAACCCUGACGGAGCGACGCCGCGUGGAUGAUGAAGGCCGUAAGGUUGUAAAAUCCUUUUGUUGGCGAAGAAUAAGCAGGAGAGUGGAAAGCUCCUGUGAUGACGUUAGCCGACGAAUAAGCCCCGGCCAAUUACGUGCCAGCAGCCGCGGUAAUACGUAUGGGGCGAGCGUUGUUCGGAGUUAUUGGGCGUAAAGGGCAAGUCUGGGGCGAAAUCGACAGGCCUAACCUGUCAUAUGCGCUGGAAACUGGUGGGCUUGAGUUCUUGAGGGGAAGCUGGAAUUCCAGGUGUAGGAGUGAAAUCUGUAGAUAUCUGGAAGAACACCGGUGGCGAAGGCGAGCUUCUAUCAGAGGACUGACGCUGAGGCGCGAAAGCGUGGGGAGCAAACAGGAUUAGAUACCCUAGUAGUC
RNAcentral lists this ribosomal RNA (450 nucleotides) under uncultured bacterium. Its description in RNAcentral is "partial 16S ribosomal RNA". It matches the Rfam family "Bacterial small subunit ribosomal RNA", at positions 338 to 795 of the family's 1533-position model. The record is from RNAcentral.